UACGUAGGGUGCGAGCGUUGUCCGGAAUUAUUGGGCGUAAAGGGCUCGUAGGCGGUUUGUCGCGUCGGGAGUGAAAUCCACUGGCUUAACUGGUGGCUUGCUUUCGAUACGGGCAGACUGGAGGUAUGCAGGGGAGAACGGAAUUCCUGGUGUAGAGGUGAAAUUCGUAGAUAUCAGGAGGAACACCGGUGGCGAAGGCGGCUUUCUGGACGAUAACUGACGCUGAGACGCGAAAGCGUGGGGAGCAAACAGG
Molecule: ribosomal RNA, 253 nt
Filed under: uncultured bacterium
Lineage: Bacteria
Description: partial 16S ribosomal RNA
Rfam family: Bacterial small subunit ribosomal RNA
Source: RNAcentral